GGCGGACGGGUGAGUAAUACAUCGGAACGUGCCCGAGAGUGGGGGAUAACGAGGCGAAAGCUUUGCUAAUACCGCAUACGAUCUCAGGAUGAAAGCAGGGGACCGCAAGGCCUUGCGCUCACGGAGCGGCCGAUGGCAGAUUAGGUAGUUGGUGGGAUAAAAGCUUACCAAGCCGACGAUCUGUAGCUGGUCUGAGAGGACGACCAGCCACGCUGGGACUGAGACACGGCCCAGACUCCUACGGGAGGCAGCAGUGGGGAAUUUUGGACAGUGGGCGCAAGCCUGAUCCAGCCAUGCCGCGUGCAGGAUGAAGGCCUUCGGGUUGUAAACUGCUUUUGUACGGAACGAAAAGACUCUGGUUAAUACCUGGGGUCCAUGACGGUACCGUAAGAAUAAGCACCGGCUAACUACGUGCCAGCAGCCGCGGUAAUACGUAGGGUGCGAGCGUUAAUCGGAAUUACUGGGCGUAAAGCGUGCGCAGGCGGUUAUGUAAGACAGAUGUGAAACCCCCGGGCUCAACCUGGGAACUGCAUUUGUGACUGCAUAGCUAGAGUACGGCAGAGGGGGAUGGGAAUUCCGCGUGUAGCAGUGAAAUGCGUAGAUAUGNGGAGUGANCAACGAAUGGGCGGAAGGGCNAAUCCCCUGGGCCUGUACUUGACGCUCAUGCACGAAAGCGUGGGGAGCAAACAGGAUUAGAUACCCNUGGUAGUCCACGCCCUAAACGAUGUCAACUGGUUNGUUGGGUCUUCACUGNACUCAGUAACGAAGCUAACGCGNUGAAGUUGACCNGCCUNGGGGANGUACGGNCCGCAAGGUUGAAANCUCAAAGGAAUUNGACGGGGACCCGCACAAGCGGNUGGANUGNAUGUGGUUUAAUUCGAUGCNAACGNCGAAAAACCUUACCCNACCNUUUGNACAUGNUACGGNAAUCCUUUAGAGANUAGAGNGAGUGNCUCGAAAGAGAGCCGUAACACAGGUGCUGCAUGGNCUGUCGUCAGCUCGUGUCGUGAGAUGUUGNGGUUAAGUCCCGNCAACGAGCGCAACCCUUGCCAUUAGUUGCNUACGAAAGGGCACUCUANAUGGNGACNUGCCGGUGACAAACCGGAGGAAGGUGGGGAUGACGUCAAGUCCUCAUGGCCCUUAUAGGUGGGGCUACACACGUCAUACAAUGGCUGGUACAGAGGGUUGCCAACCCGCGA
Molecule: ribosomal RNA, 1199 nt
Filed under: uncultured Acidovorax sp.
Lineage: Bacteria; Pseudomonadati; Pseudomonadota; Betaproteobacteria; Burkholderiales; Comamonadaceae
Description: partial 16S ribosomal RNA
Rfam family: Bacterial small subunit ribosomal RNA
Source: RNAcentral